This 253-nucleotide ribosomal RNA is filed under the name uncultured bacterium. RNAcentral describes it as "partial 16S ribosomal RNA". It matches the Rfam family "Bacterial small subunit ribosomal RNA", at positions 524 to 776 of the family's 1533-position model. The record is from RNAcentral.
UACAGAGGGUGCAAACGUUGCUCGGAAUUACUGGGCGUAAAGCGCGUGUAGGCGGUUUUAUAAGUCCGAUGUGAAAGCCCAGGGCUCAACCCUGGAAGUGCAUUGGAUACUGUGAAGCUGGAGUCCUGAAGAGGAGAGCGGAAUUCCCGGUGUAGAGGUGAAAUUCGUAGAUAUCGGGAGGAACACCUGUGGCGAAGGCGGCUCUCUGGGCAGGUACUGACGCUGAGACGCGAAAGCGUGGGGAGCAAACAGG